RNAcentral lists this ribosomal RNA (459 nucleotides) under uncultured bacterium. Its description in RNAcentral is "partial 16S ribosomal RNA". It matches the Rfam family "Bacterial small subunit ribosomal RNA", at positions 338 to 795 of the family's 1533-position model. The record is from RNAcentral.
CCUACGGGAGGCAGCAGUGAGGAAUAUUGGUCAAUGGACGCAAGUCUGAACCAGCCAUGCCGCGUGCAGGAAGACGGCUCUAUGAGUUGUAAACUGCUUUUGUACGAGGGUAAACGCAGAUACGCGUAUCUGUCUGAAAGUAUCGUACGAAUAAGGAUCGGCUAACUCCGUGCCAGCAGCCGCGGUAAUACGGAGGAUUCAAGCGUUGUUCGGAAUCACUGGGCGUAAAGCGUGCGUAGGCUGUUUCGUAAGUCGUGUGUGAAAGGCGCGGGCUCAACCCCGUCGUGCCGUUGAAACUGAUGUUCUUGAGUGGGCGAGGAGUAUGCGGAAUGCGUGGUGUAGCGGUGAAAUGCGUAGAUAUCGCGCAGAACUCCGGUUGCGAAGGCAGCAUACCGGCGCCCAACUGACGCUGAAGCACGAAGGCGUGGGUAUCGAACAGGAUUAGAUACCCGAGUAGUC